RNAcentral lists this ribosomal RNA (505 nucleotides) under uncultured bacterium. RNAcentral's name for it is "partial 16S ribosomal RNA". It matches the Rfam family "Bacterial small subunit ribosomal RNA", at positions 28 to 507 of the family's 1533-position model. The record is from RNAcentral.
GACGAACGCUGGCGGCGUGCCUAAUACAUGCAAGUAGAACGCACAGUUUAUACCGUUGCUUGCUACACCAUAGACUGUGAGUUGCGAACGGGUGAGUAACGCGUAGGUAACCUGCCUGGUAGCGGGGGGUAACUAGUGGAAACGAUAGCUAAUACCUCAUAAUAUUUAUUAUUGCAUGAUAAUUUAUUGAAAUGUGCAAUUGCACCACUACCAGAUGGACCUGCGUUGUAUUAGCUAGUAGGUGAGGUAACGGCUCACCUAGGCGAGGAUACAUAGCCGAACUGCGAGGGUGGUCAGCCACACUGAGACUGAGACACGGCACAGACUCCUACGGGAGGCAGCAAGACGGAAUCGUGGGGAAUGGGCGGAAGACUGAGCGAGAAACGCCGAGUGAGUGAAGAAGGUUUCCGGGUCGGAAAGCACUGUUGUAAGGGAAGAACCGGUGUGAGAGUGGAAAGUACACAGUGUGACGGUAACUUAUAAGAAAGGGACGGCUAACUACGUG